Molecule: non-coding RNA, 1010 nt
Organism: Gopherus evgoodei (Goodes thornscrub tortoise)
Lineage: Eukaryota; Metazoa; Chordata; Testudines; Testudinidae
Source: the annotation of a RefSeq genome assembly
GGUCUGGAAACAAUAUAUUCAUCCAUGAAGGCUCCAGAAAUCCUGCUUUGGACAGCAACAGCAUUUCUAUCUUUGAACAGCAACGAUCAGGGACAAUGGAUUUCCUCUUCCGAAUCGAUGAGAGUAGUGCUAAAAAGAAUGGAGCUGGGAGACGGUUUUCUGCAGAAUUCAGGAAAUCCUCAAAAUUCUUCAGUUUAACCAUUAAGGAUCUAGAGCUGAUGGACUCGGCGACAUACUUCUGUGCUCUCGUGGAACACACUCGACCUCUCAGCGUGUCCGGCCGCCGCUGUCUAAACACCAUGGAGACGCGUUUCAUUCUCAGCCUUUGGGUCUUUAGACAACUAGGUGCGGUGGUGGGUGACUCGAUCCGGUCCAGUGAACCCGAGGUGUCCAGGUCAGAAGGAGACACCGUGACCAUCAGCUGUUCCUACGAUACCAGCUACACUGCUGGUGUCUAUCUCUACUGGUACCGUCAGUAUCCGAACCGAGCCCCGCAGUACAUCCUCCUGAGAGGAGCAAAAGGAAGCACAUUCAGCGAUACUGCAGGUUUCGCCCAGGAGAGGUUUUCUUCCCAGUCCGAUGACAGCUCCACAGUUCUGAACAUCGCAGCCCUGGAGCUGUCAGACACAGGGGUGUAUCUCUGCGCCCUGCAGAGAGCACAGUGACAGAGCCUCACAGCAGAGCUGUACAAAAACCUCCCAGCCCUGCUGCAGGGGCUGUCACAGGCAUUAAAACGGGCUGCAGCGCCUCGAAAAAGACUUGAGUACUGACGCUGCUUAAAGAUACAUCUCCCCAUAACAGCUGUAUGUUUAUUUAAAGAGCUGAUUUAAACAUCACGCUUGGAUAAGAUAAUGGGCCUGAUCUUUAAUUAGGAAGCUAUAAAUACGUUUUACUUAGUUUAGGAGAUGAUUUAUAUCGGUGUGUGUGUGGGAAUCAUUUGUAGUAAGGGUUAAAGGUGAGUACAAAUGUAGACGAAGUGACCUAUUGUUGAAAUACAGAUUGAGAUUAAA